ACAGAGGGGGCAAGCGUUAUUCGGAAUUAUUGGGCGUAAAGGGUGCGCAGGCGGUGUUUUAAGUGAGAUGUGCAAUCCCCGGGCUUAACCUGGGAACUGCAUCUCAGACUGGAACGCUAGAGUACUGGAGAGGGUGGUAGAAUUCCACGUGUAGCGGUGAAAUGCGUAGAGAUGUGGAGGAAUACCAGUGGCGAAGGCGGCCACCUGGACAGUAACUGACGCUGAGGCACGAAAGCAUGGGUAGCAAACAGG
RNAcentral lists this ribosomal RNA (252 nucleotides) under uncultured bacterium. RNAcentral describes it as "partial 16S ribosomal RNA". It matches the Rfam family "Bacterial small subunit ribosomal RNA", at positions 525 to 776 of the family's 1533-position model. The record is from RNAcentral.